GACGAACGCUGGCGGCGUGCCUAAUACAUGCAAGUUGAGCGCUGAAGGUUGGUACUUGUACCAACUGGAUGAGCAGCGAACGGGUGAGUAACGCGUGGGGAAUCUGCCUUUGAGCGGGGGACAACAUUUGGAAACGAAUGCUAAUACCGCAUAAAAACUUUAAACACAAGUUUUAAGUUUGAAAGAUGCAAUUGCAUCACUCAAAGAUGAUCCCGCGUUGUAUUAGCUAGUUGGUGAGGUAAAGGCUCACCAAGGCGAUGAUACAUAGCCGACCUGAGAGGGUGAUCGGCCACAUUGGGACUGAGACACGGCCCCAACUCCUACGGGAGGCAGCAGUAGGGAAUCUUCGGCCAUGGACGAAAGUCUGACCGAGCAACGCCGCGUGAGUGAAGAAGGUUUUCGGAUCGUAAAACUCUGUUGGUAGAGAAGAACGUUGGUGAGAGUGGAAAGCUCAUCAAGUGACGGUAACUACCCAGAAAGGGACGGCUAACUACGUG
This 497-nucleotide ribosomal RNA is filed under the name uncultured bacterium. Its description in RNAcentral is "partial 16S ribosomal RNA". It matches the Rfam family "Bacterial small subunit ribosomal RNA", at positions 28 to 507 of the family's 1533-position model. The record is from RNAcentral.